This 460-nucleotide ribosomal RNA is filed under the name uncultured bacterium. RNAcentral's name for it is "partial 16S ribosomal RNA". It matches the Rfam family "Bacterial small subunit ribosomal RNA", at positions 338 to 795 of the family's 1533-position model. The record is from RNAcentral.
CCUACGGGGGGCAGCAGUGAGGAAUAUUGGUCAAUGGCCGUAAGGCUGAACCAGCCAAGUCGCGUGAAGGAAGAAGGAUCUAUGGUUUGUAAACUUCUUUUAUAGGGGAAUAAAGUUAUGCACGUGUGCCUUUUUGCAUGUACUUUAUGAAUAAGCAUCGGCUAACUCCGUGCCAGCAGCCGCGGUAAUACGGAGGAUGCGAGCGUUAUCCGGAUUUAUUGGGUUUAAAGGGUGCGUAGGUUGUUUUUUAAGUCAGCGGUGAAAGUUUGUGGCUCAACCAUAAAAUUGCCGUUGAAACUGGCAGUCUUGAGUGUGUUUGAGGUAGGCGGAAUGCGUGGUGUAGCGGUGAAAUGCAUAGAUAUCACGCAGAACUCCGAUUGCGAAGGCAGCUUACUAAGCCAUAACUGACACUGAAGCACGAAAGCGUGGGGAUCAAACAGGAUUAGAUACCCCUGUAGUC